UACGAAGGGGGCUAGCGUUGUUCGGAAUUACUGGGCGUAAAGGGCGCGUAGGCGGUGUGUCAAGUCAGGCGUGAAAGCCCCGGGCUCAACCUGGGAACCGCGCUUGAGACUGGCACGCUAGAGUUCGGGAGAGGUGAGUGGAACUCCGAGUGUAGAGGUGAAAUUCGUAGAUAUUCGGAAGAACACCAGUGGCGAAGGCGGCUCACUGGUCCGGUACUGACGCUGAUGUGCGAAAGCGUGGGGAGCAAACAGG
Molecule: ribosomal RNA, 253 nt
Filed under: uncultured bacterium
Lineage: Bacteria
Description: partial 16S ribosomal RNA
Rfam family: Bacterial small subunit ribosomal RNA
Source: RNAcentral